CCGGUUGAUCCCGCCGGACCUGACUGCUAUCGGAUUGAUACUAAGCCAUGCGAGUCAUUGUAGCAAUACAAGGCAGACGGCUCAGUAACGCGUAGUCAACCUAACCUAUGGACGGGAAUAACCUCGGGAAACUGAGAAUAAUGCCCGAUAGAACACUAUAUCUGGAAUGGUUUGUGUUCCAAAUGAUUUAUCGCCGUAGGAUGGGACUGCGGCCUAUCAGUUUGUUGGUGAGGUAAUGGCCCACCAAGACUAUUACAGGUACGGGCUCUGAGAGGAGUAGCCCGGAGAUGGGUACUGAGACACGGACCCAGGCCCUAUGGGGCGCAGCAGGCGAGAAAACUUUGCAAUGUGCGAAAGCACGACAAGGUUAAUCCGAGUGGUUUGUGCUAAACGAACCUUUUGUCGGUCCUAGAAACACCGAUGAAUAAGGGGUGGGCAAGUUCUGGUGUCAGCCGCCGCGGUAAAACCAGCACCUCAAGUGGUCAGGAUGAUUAUUGGGCCUAAAGCAUCCGUAGCCGGCGCUGUAAGUUUUCGGUUAAAUCUGUACGCUCAACGUACAGGCUGCCGGGAAUACUGCAGCGCUAGGGAGUGGGAGAGGUAGACGGUACUCGGUAGGAAGGGGUAAAAUCCUUUGAUCUAUUGAUGACCACCUGUGGCGAAGGCGGUCUACCAGAACACGUCCGACGGUGAGGGAUGAAAGCUGGGGGAGCAAACCGGAUUAGAUACCCGGGUAGUCCCAGCUGUAAACUAUGCAAACUCAGUGAUGCAUUGGCUUGUGGCCAAUGCAGUGCUGCAGGGAAGCCGUUAAGUUUGCCGCCUGGGAAGUACGUACGCAAGUAUGAAACUUAAAGGAAUUGGCGGGGGAGCACCACAAGGGGUGAAGCCUGCGGUUCAAUUGGAGUCAACGCCGGGAA
This 914-nucleotide ribosomal RNA is filed under the name uncultured archaeon. RNAcentral's name for it is "bacterial SSU rRNA". It matches the Rfam family "Archaeal small subunit ribosomal RNA", at positions 4 to 924 of the family's 1478-position model. The record is from RNAcentral.